Molecule: long non-coding RNA, 943 nt
Organism: Wasmannia auropunctata (little fire ant)
Lineage: Eukaryota; Metazoa; Arthropoda; Insecta; Hymenoptera; Formicidae
Exons: 2
Source: RefSeq, a predicted model, not a curated record
CAAUUCACGGGCUUUCGGUAUGCAACUAACGCACGGAAAAAUCAGACUUUUUUUUUUCUUCGCGAUGAAAGAAAAACUUUCAAGGAUGGCAAAUAGAAAGAUUAACUUUCGAGGAUUUCAGUAUAAUCAUUAAGAAGAAAAUUGGUAAUUUAUUGGUAAUUGUGUACUUCGUAAACUUUUAAAUCUUUUGUUGUGUGAAUUUGGCUUAAAAGUUAGUAACGCUGACGAUGAUGUCACGAACACAGAGUAAAUGAGAUAUCAUAAACGACAAUAUUUCAUACACUAAAUGCGGCGAAGAGCGGGGAUGAAGUUGCGAGGCCAAGGCUUGGGUGGGGCUAAUUAUCAAUAUGAGAAGAGCGGAGCAGAGAGGCGAGCAGAGGGAAGGCAAACUGCUUCGUUGGGCUUUCAAAGGAAGUUAAAAAAUUUAAGAGAAACCAAGAGAUUUAUAUAGAAGAAAAUUUGUGCAUUACAAGCAAUUACAAGACUUAUAAUCGGUCUAUGGAAAUUGAGAAAGACCGUUAUUAUUGUAAUAUAUUACUAUGUACAGCUAUACAUAUUAUUAUGUUUGCUGUAUUAACAUUAGUAUUUGUCUGUUUGUUUGUGGUAUACAUUAUGCGGCCUUAUUGAAAUUGUUGUUGUUAUUUACACACGCUCGCCUGAACUAUGCGUUCCUCUUUAUUAAUAUUGCGAUAAAUAUUACCACAGCCUCAGUGAAUAGAUAAGACAUCCGCCCCGGAUAAGAUCGGUAGAUUUCAGAUUCGAAUCCUGGCUGAGGUAAUAUUUUUCGCAAUAAAUUCUUUACAGGUGAAAAAUCAAUUUAAUAUGUAAUAUUUCAGCGUAAAAUUAUGAUUGCGAUCUUAAAAAGUCCGAAAGUAAUCGAUACGCAGUUAAUUUACUGUAGCUGAAAUUUAAAAAUAAAAAUUAAAAAUAUUAUCAACAUUUA